AUGCUUGAGUGUAUAGUUGCACUAUGAUUUUUGAUAUCAUAAGUUUUAAUAAAGAAUUAAGAGGCAUAA
This 69-nucleotide transfer RNA is filed under the name Xenophyes cascus. RNAcentral describes it as "tRNA-Gln". The record is from RNAcentral. Lineage: Eukaryota; Metazoa; Arthropoda; Insecta; Hemiptera; Peloridiidae.